RNAcentral lists this ribosomal RNA (370 nucleotides) under uncultured organism. Its description in RNAcentral is "bacterial SSU rRNA". It matches the Rfam family "Bacterial small subunit ribosomal RNA", at positions 526 to 896 of the family's 1533-position model. The record is from RNAcentral.
CGAGGGGGGCAAAUGUUGUUCGGAAUCACUGGGCGUAAAGGGAGCGUAGGCGGGCUCUUAAGUUAGGUGUUUAAUCCCGGGGCCCAACCCCGGACAGGCACCUAAAACUGGGAGUCUUGAAUAGUGGAGAGGACGGCGGAAUUGGGGGUGUAGCGGUGGAAUGCGUAGAGAUCCCCAAGAACACCAGUUGCGAAGGCGGCCGUCUGGACACAUAUUGACGCUGAGGCUCGAAGCAUGGGGAGCAAACAGGAUUAGAUACCCUGGUAGUCCAUGCUAUAAACGAUGAAUACUAGGUUUUGGGCCCGUCAACGGUCCAGAGCCGCAGCUAACGCGUUAAGUAUUCCGCCUGGGGAGUACGCUCGCAAGAGUG